RNAcentral lists this transfer RNA (57 nucleotides) under Epiacizzia kuwayamai. RNAcentral's name for it is "tRNA-Leu". Lineage: Eukaryota; Metazoa; Arthropoda; Insecta; Hemiptera; Psyllidae. The record is from RNAcentral.
AUGUGUCAGAAACAAUGUAUUAAAUUUAAGAUUUAAUUAUGAAAUUUUCCUUUAGUA